Salvelinus sp. IW2-2015 is the source of this 325-nucleotide long non-coding RNA. RefSeq lists it as uncharacterized. NCBI's taxonomy places the organism in Eukaryota, Metazoa, Chordata, Actinopteri, Salmoniformes, Salmonidae. The record is from RefSeq and is a predicted model, not a curated record.
UUUGCCAGAUGAUGGCAUCAGUUGCCUGAUGAAUGGGAAGGACCUCUGGCCCCGGCUGCAUUUCAACUAAGUGGAGGGAAGAGAAAAGAACAUACGCUGCAGGCGACAACAAGCAUCGAACAAUUCAUCACAAAACCAAUCUCCUCAGAACAGAUCUGCUGAUAGCUUCCUUUUUGGAGACGGACUGCUCCUCAAGAAAAAAGACCUCAUACCACCGUUUAAAGACAUUUCUGACCUACCAGUCUGCUAGACAUUGCUACUGACAGGCCAAAACGAUCAUCAAGGACAACCACCACCCGAGCCACUGCCUGUUCACCCCGCUAUC